CAGCCGCCGCGGGAAUACAAAGGGUGCGAGCGUUAAUCGGAUUUACUGGGCGUAAAGCGUGCGUAGGCGGCUUCUUAAGUCGGAUGUGAAAUCCCUGAGCUUAACUUAGGAAUUGCAUUCGAUACUGGGAAGCUAGAGUAUGGGAGAGGAUGGUAGAAUUCCAGGUGUAGCGGUGAAAUGCGUAGAGAUCUGGAGGAAUACCGAUGGCGAAGGCAGCCAUCUGGCCUAAUACUGACGCUGAGGUACGAAAGCAUGGGGAGCAAACAGGAUUAGAUACCCCUGUAGUCCCUGUCUCUUAUAC
RNAcentral lists this ribosomal RNA (301 nucleotides) under uncultured bacterium. RNAcentral describes it as "partial 16S ribosomal RNA". It matches the Rfam family "Bacterial small subunit ribosomal RNA", at positions 509 to 807 of the family's 1533-position model. The record is from RNAcentral.